RNAcentral lists this ribosomal RNA (425 nucleotides) under uncultured bacterium. RNAcentral's name for it is "partial 16S ribosomal RNA". It matches the Rfam family "Bacterial small subunit ribosomal RNA", at positions 354 to 796 of the family's 1533-position model. The record is from RNAcentral.
GUGGGGAAUCUUAGACAAUGGGGGAAACCCUGAUCUAGCCAUGCCGCGUGAGCGAUGAAGGCCUUAGGGUUGUAAAGCUCUUUCAGAUGGGAAGAUAAUGACGGUACCAUCAGAAGAAGCCCCGGCUAACUCCGUGCCAGCAGCCGCGGUAAUACGGAGGGGGCUAGCGUUGUUCGGAAUUACUGGGCGUAAAGCGCACGUAGGCGGCCCAGAAAGUCAGAGGUGAAAUCCCAGGGCUCAACCUUGGAACUGCCUUUGAAACUCCUGGUCUUGAGGUCGAGAGAGGUGAGUGGAAUUCCGAGUGUAGAGGUGAAAUUCGUAGAUAUUCGGAGGAACACCAGUGGCGAAGGCGGCUCACUGGCUCGAUACUGACGCUGAGGUGCGAAAGCGUGGGGAGCAAACAGGAUUAGAAACCCCAGUAGUCC